AGAAAAGUUAAGCAGAGCAAAAGCUGAUUUAUUUGAUAACUAUUAGAAUUGUUUUUAAGAUGAGUGCCCGUUAUGUUGAAACGAGAAAACAUAUAACUUAUGUAUUACUGUAAGCUGUAGCACUUAACUCUAAUUUUAAAUAAUUAUACUUUGAGGCGGCGCUGCCAGCUUCCAAUUAAUGCAAAUGCAGAUGCAGAUGCCGAUGCCGAUGCCAGUCAGGGUUGAUUUUGGUCCAUAUUUCGUGUAACCGUUUCAUCAUUUCCAUUGUUCAGGCCAGGCCCCUCAGGUCUGCACCCGUGUACGCAUAGAUAUACAUAUAUACCAUACCUACAUAAUAUACAACUCGAAACGAGAGCGCACCAAUAAUAUACAUACUAUAAAGAGUACGAGUAUAGUAUUUCGAUUCAAUUGUAUGCCGAUAGUUUAUCAAAUCAGAUCUAUGAAAUAUGUAUCUAAAAAUUUGCUUAGGAAAAGGACAGCGGAUCGCCCUCCUUCCUGCGUAGCUCCGUGAAUCGUAUUGUGUGUUUUAACCGAACCAAACCAAACCGAAUCGAAUCGAAUUGAUUCGACUCGACUCGACAGAAUUCAACGUGGAAGGAGGCACCUGUAAUUAUAUAUAUAUAUAUAUGUAUGUAAAUGAUAUAUGUAUAUUAGUUUGCAUUUGUGUCGUUGCCUAGCCUUCGGUUAGCUAAAUUGUUCUGGAAUUUUCCUCUUCACCGAUUGUUUCUGUUUCGCACCAAAUUGUUAAUGAAUUAACUUAUGUAAAGCAGACAGAAUAUAACCUAUUGCAGCUGUCGAUCGGUGAGCGGUGAGCGGUGGCGGGUCGAGAGUAGAUUGCUCAGAUCCGACCCGACCCGAUCCGAUCCAAAUGCAAAUGUAAAUAAGUCAAGUUAAACAAUUAAGCAUCACACACCAGACAAACAGAGGAGGAAGAUGAGGAGGAGAAGACGAUGAAAGGAGGCGACACUUAAAGGAAUAUAUAAACUAUAAUAAUAGCCUCCCUCUUUAUACAUAUAUAAAUAUAUAUAUAUAUAUAUUUAAUACGAGUAAUCAAAAGUUAAAUUGUAACCCCCCAAAAGUAUUGCACAUAUGUAUGUAUUCUAUAUUCUUUCCAAAUUGAAUUGCAAUUCCUGUUUUUUUUGUGUGUCAUUUUUGUUGUUAAACCGCUUUUAAAUGUACAUGAAUGCGAUUAGUCCAGCAAGAAUUAAAUUUUAUAUACAAUACUUGGUAGCCCCUUUAUUCUAACCCUCUAACCCCUUGAUAUCAAUUCAAUUAUGGCGGAGUCAGAGCAAGUAGCCCCCGCAGUGGCAGGGAUCGCUGAAACUCCCUCGAUCCAGGCUCUGUGCCGACCUCCAAAAAGGAUUGAUGGGGGUCUGCUCUUCUGGUCUAUACAUAGUAUAACAUGCAUACAUAUAUGAAAUUCAAUUAAUGAUAAUUACAUUUUACGGAUUUGCGUGUGUAUUUAUUGUUCAAGUACAAGUCAAAAGCAAAAGCAAAAACAAAACAAAACAUAAAAUACAAGUAAACUACAUUUAAACCUAAUAACAUUGUUUUCAAAUUUGAAUUAUACUCUGGUAUGAGUCGGUCCAUGAAGCCGAAAUCAAUAAAAAUUUACUAUAUAAACUAUAAAAGUACUGUGGAUAUGCUAUACUUCUCCUGGUUAGAGGGCAAACGCUUCCAGAGGAUACUUCUGCUUGUAGAGUGUCCCCCAGACGCCUGUUUUCGAUCCUCCUGCAAAGCUCAACAAGGAACGCAGUUUCUCUUCUGCUCUGUUGUUACCGUUAUCCCGAUGGCCGAUGGCGGAUGGCGGAUGGUAAACAAACUGGGCGACAAGCUAACCGUCCUCUUUCCUCGCCCGCCUUCGCUGGGGGUGAACUUUUGACAGCUGAUACAGUUAGCUUUUACUCGCACUCGCACUCGCUCUUUCUGACUUUGUUUUGUUUUGGGGCAGUAACUCAGCCACUAGCCAGCACAUGCGCCGUCUCCUCAGAGCUCUCUCUCUUUCGCUCUCUCUCUCUCGCUCUUUGUCGCUCUCCCCCCGCGUCUGCCUAGAAAAGGGGGCAAAGGAAGGCGGCUCGAAACUUCGCUGCAGAGUUGUCAGAAGCCGAAGGGCCGUCAGUCGGGAGAGUUUGUUGCGCGGCGCAUUUCCUGCCACACGAGAAAGAGAGAGACAGAAGGGAACAAGAAUUUUCCUGGCUGCUGCUCCUGCCAGAUCCGAAUCGGGAGGAAACAUUAAAGUGUAAAAUAUUACGGACGGAGACCUGGCGAAGAGUGCCUGCCAGUGUGCCGGACGGGGAGGUGGCGAAAACCAGGCGAAAAAGGCAAAUCAAAUCAAAAGCAAGCCGUGGAAAAAUUCCCCAACCCGUGUGUGUCCCGUGCCCGUGUCCGUGUGGGUCUGGCUGUGGGUGUGGGUGUC
Drosophila persimilis is the source of this 2416-nucleotide RNA transcript. RefSeq lists it as uncharacterized. The record is from RefSeq and is a predicted model, not a curated record. Lineage: Eukaryota; Metazoa; Arthropoda; Insecta; Diptera; Drosophilidae. The transcript has 2 exons.